This is a non-coding RNA of Pelobates cultripes (western spadefoot toad), 1136 nucleotides long. The record is from the annotation of a GenBank genome assembly. NCBI's taxonomy places the organism in Eukaryota, Metazoa, Chordata, Amphibia, Anura, Pelobatidae.
GCUGGGUGCUUCAUUCAAUUAUUUUGUAUACACACAUUUGCAACAGUAGAACUAUUUACAUUUACUGCAAUGGCACAGGACCGAUAUUUGGCUAUUGGAGAGCCUUUGAGAUACCCAACACUAAUGACCAAUGGAAAAGCACUGAAUUAUAUAGGUAUUAUUUGGAUAACUGCUAUUGUCCUUGUCCUUAUACCUGUGAUAAUGACCAUAAAACUUCCUCUGUGUGGUAAAAACAUAAACAAUGUGUUUUGUGAUAACAUGUCUCUAGUAAAUUUGGCUUGUGGUGACACCUCCAUAAAUAACAUAUUUGGAGCAAUUCAGACUUUCAUUGUAUAUAUGGUUUCUCUGCUGAUUAUAAUGUAUUGUUACAUAAGGACAUUUCUCAUCUGUUUAAAGCUCUUGAAAGAUGCACAUCAGAAAGCUCUCAGUACUAUAGUAAGCCACCUGAUUGCGUUUUCAUGUUUUACAGUUGCAAGUUUUUUUGUUUUCUUGCGUUACAGACUGAACAGUGGGUCUAUUCCUUUAUUUGUCCAUGUUAUACUCAGCUGCAUGGGCAUUGUUACCACUGCCAUUGUAAACCCUCUUAUUUUUGGAAUAAUGACAGAAGCUUUCAGAGUGAAAAUGAUCCAGAACCUAUUAAAAAUAUAUGCUCGCUAGAAUAUUAAAAAAAAUUAAAGAAUUAUUCUAAAAAAGGGUUGCUAGAAAAUGUGUAGCUCUCAGAGUAUAUCUGUACUAUGGACACAUACAGAUAUUGGAAAAAAAAGAAUGGGGGGGUUUAGUGUAUUAGAACCUCUUUUCAAGGGUCAGAAUGUUGUUCCCAUUGUUUAGUUCACAGAUCCAAGUAUAUCUUAAUAUAUUUAUUAAAUAUAUCAUUUAAAAGUAUUUCCUUACUUCUAGUUUUUCCCUGUAAUAUUCACCUCUCACUCGAUCUGUGAAUAAAAUAAAAAAUUAGUGAUUGUCCCAUCAAUCAUCUAGUAUUUGGCGCCACAAGGAGAAUACUGAAUACUGACCUCUUCUACUCCCUCAGAACAUGUUUUCAUUUUGUGGUUCAGAUAUUCAAGUUCAACUAUAUUUCUGCUUAGAUUACAGGAAUUUUUGCUGACACUCGACUGGGACAAUUUUCAAAAUAGUUGCAG